Molecule: non-coding RNA, 1707 nt
Organism: Pantherophis guttatus
Lineage: Eukaryota; Metazoa; Chordata; Lepidosauria; Squamata; Colubridae
Source: RefSeq, a predicted model, not a curated record
GGCAGCGUGACGAGCUCCGAGCAGGAGAUGGGCUCGCGGCCGAGGGUAGGAGAAACUUAACCGUUUCGCCUAAGCCGCGGCGCGUCCUAUCUUGAGACAAGCCUUCCGCCGACAUUUAAAGCGAAUUUAUAAUAUGAAAACAAGGAUGGGGUGGAGAAUCCAGCAUUCUGUUGAAGCAGAAUUAAGAAAAGUGUAAUGUACCUUCUCUUUCUCUGUACAAUCCAAUUUUAAACUCUGUUUAAGACUAAAUGGUGACAAAUGGAUACACAAAUCCCUCCGCAAACUGACUGAGCAAGAGGAAGAGCAGGAAUGAGGAUAAAGGAAGGCAGCCUCGGUAACUCUGGAAGUCAGAAAAAUGAUUAAAGAUGUUAACAGUGGCUAUAGAAAAUCUAUGCAUCCCUGUUAAAAUGCCAGGUUUUUGAAAUGUAAAAAACAACAAAUCAAACCAAGAUAAAUCACUUCAUAAUUUUUUCCACCUUUAACCUAUAAGAUGUACAAUUCAAUAGAAAAACAAGCUGAAAUCUUUUAGGGAUAAAAAAAAUAAAAAUAAAAAACUUGCACUACUGUGCUUGCAUAAGUUUUUUCACCCUUAAGCUAAUACUUUGUUAACAUACUUUUUUAUUUUAGGACAGCAUUCAGUCUUUCGAGGUAGGAGCCUAUCAACAUGGCACAUCCUUCCUUGGGAAUAUUUGUCCACUCUUCCUUGCAAAACAAGUCCAAAUCUGUUAGAUUGUGAGGGCAGUGAUAAUGUGCACAGCCUUCUUCAGCUCACCCAGAGAUUUUCAAUUGGAUUUAAGUCCGGGCUCUGGCUGGGGCAUUCCAAAACUUUGAUUUUCCUCUGAUGAAGCUAUUCUUUUGUUGAUUUGGGACAACUCUUUGAGUUGUUGUCAUGUUGAAAGGUGAAAUUCCUCUUCAUUUUCAGCAUUUUAGCAGAGGCUUGAAGGUUUUGUGCCAAAAUUGACUGAUAUUUGGAACUGUUCAUAAUUCCUUCCACUUCGACUAAAGCCUCAGUUCCAGCUGAAGAAAAGCAACCCCAAAGCAUAAUGCUGCCACCACAAUACUGCCCUGUAGGUAUGGUGUACUUUUAGUAAUGCACAAUGUUGUCUUUGCGCCAAAACACACUUUUUGGAAUUAUGGCCAAAAAGUUCUAUCUUGCUACCCUAGCCCACAGCCCAGACAUACGAAGAAUACAGGAGACUGUGUCACAUGUAGUACACAACCACUACUUGCCAGAAAUUUCUGCAACUUCUUUAAUUGUAGGCCUCUUGUCAGCCCCUUGGUCCAGUUUUUUUAUUUUAUUUUAAUUUUUUCUCUUAAAGAUGAUACAGACCACCCAUUACGUCCAAUUUAUUCAUACAAUGUUGACUUCACACUUUCUAGGCCAUUUUAUGUAUGCUACAACUUUGAUUGGACUCUGUAGACUUCUGGCUCUGGAUCCUUAAACUCUUGGCUUCUAGUCAUAUUGGCAACACCAACAUUGUAUCCUGACUAUCAGACAGGGUCUCUUUUGUGGUUCAAGUGAUGAAAUGUGCAUUGUGAAGUAAUGAAAAUGCUAUUUUGGCCUCUGCAACCUAAGUUACUUAAAUAUUCCUGCUGCCAGGUUGAUAGCACAAAAUAGUGAGAUUUGUGUCAGUAAUUUUGAUAGGAAUGCCUGUAAUUGUCAGAGAGAAUUAAUGACUCAUGAAGAAAAUAAAUCUCUUUUGUUUG